GUCUACGGUCAUGUCACCCUGAAUGUGCCUGAUCUUGUCUGAUCCUGGAAGCUAAGCAAGAUUGGGCCUGGUUAGUACUUGGAUAGGAGACCACCUAGGAAUACCAGGUGCUGUAGGUA
RNAcentral lists this ribosomal RNA (119 nucleotides) under Pteropus alecto (black flying fox). The record is from RNAcentral. Lineage: Eukaryota; Metazoa; Chordata; Mammalia; Chiroptera; Pteropodidae.